Molecule: non-coding RNA, 72 nt
Organism: Trichonephila clavipes
Lineage: Eukaryota; Metazoa; Arthropoda; Arachnida; Araneae; Nephilidae
Source: the annotation of a GenBank genome assembly
AGCAGAGUGGCGCAGUGGUAGCGAGCUGGGCCCAUAACCCAGAAGUCCGUUGAUCAAAACCACCCUCUGCUA